RNAcentral lists this ribosomal RNA (312 nucleotides) under Triticum aestivum (bread wheat). Its description in RNAcentral is "partial small subunit ribosomal RNA". The record is from RNAcentral. Lineage: Eukaryota; Viridiplantae; Streptophyta; Magnoliopsida; Poales; Poaceae.
AUGAAUAAGCUCACAAGCUACAAUCUGCAAGUACUUGAAACAUUAAACAGGAACAAUAAAAUUCAGGACGUGGUCCUUGUUUGCUAUGCAACGGGUUGUGCUCGCUUCCUACACGAGUCUCUUGCAGCAGGCGGACGUCGUCAGGUGGAGCAGCAAAUGGCUGGAUGCAGGCGCGGUGCAGUAGAUGGUCUGCAGGUUGCGGCCGGUGGCGGACUUGCGUCGGUGACCGGCAAGAAGGUGGACGGGCGCGGUGCUACGCCAAAUCGUGGUGGAUCCCGCCGUGGCCGCCGAACGGAUCCCCGAGGGCGUUGA